Molecule: transfer RNA, 67 nt
Filed under: Ophiura luetkenii
Lineage: Eukaryota; Metazoa; Echinodermata; Ophiuroidea; Amphilepidida; Ophiuridae
Description: tRNA-Asp
Source: RNAcentral
AGAGACUUAGUUAAAAAAUAACACUGGUCUGUCAGUCCAGAAGUUGCGGAGUAUAUCGCAGUCUCUU